ACUGUUCCGAUCAUUAUUUUUGUUGAUUAAGGUUUGAUGUAGACUGAAUCUUGAUCAACUUGCCAGAUGUAGCCUAGGAUAAGUUGGAAAGAAAGAUGUAGAGAUGGAGAAAAAAAUUCCGAUUUCUAACCAGAACUUCUGUACUUUAUAUACAGGUGGGAAGAGAUGCAAGAGGAUGGGGAAGGGAGGAGAUGUCGCUCAAGAUGCCUGAAACAGAAUGAGAUAAUUGAAUUGAAAGUAAUCAGGGAAACGAACAAUGAGGCAACAAAAAUGUUAAAUAGAAAGGAACCUUGGAGAUAGAUUUAAAUUCAGAAGUCAUCUCUGGAGGAUUAAAUAAAAAAGACACUGGGAAGACAAAGUAGCUAGACCUCCAACUGAGUAUAUAACAUACAAGGGGGUCCUUCCAUAGAACAUCAUAUCAGGAUCUGAGAGAGCAGGAGAAAAGCACGGAGUCUUCCAGUAACAUAACUUUGAACCACUGCUUAACAACAAAACUGCGUUGUCCACACAAGAGGAGCAGACACAAGUGAAAAGACUGAAAAGCAUCUGCUUGGGGAAAAUGUGCAGAAGGUCUCUGGUUCCCUACUCAAUUUUCCCAGUUAAGUGUAAGCAAAAGAAACAAGCACUGAGAGCUCCUGCUGCAGACGAAGUGCUGUUAUUCUGCUUCUACAGGCUGCUGCUCAAGCUGAGCUCUGCAGGGGAACAGGCUGCAUGGGCACUGAGAGAAAGAGCAAAAGAAAAUGCCAAGCAAAAUUAA
This 757-nucleotide long non-coding RNA is filed under the name Numida meleagris (helmeted guineafowl). Its description in RNAcentral is "lncRNA (ENSNMEG00000000592.1)". The record is from RNAcentral. Lineage: Eukaryota; Metazoa; Chordata; Aves; Galliformes; Numididae.